CAAUUUAGAGCUUGAAUAAGCAUUUUAUUUACAUUAAAAAGAUAACUUUAUAGUUUAAAUUGA
Molecule: transfer RNA, 63 nt
Filed under: Eriopis connexa
Lineage: Eukaryota; Metazoa; Arthropoda; Insecta; Coleoptera; Coccinellidae
Description: tRNA-Val
Source: RNAcentral